AGUGAACGCUGGCGGCAGGCCUAAUACAUGCAAGUCGAACGGCAGCACAGUGGAGCUUGCUCCAUGGGUGGCGAGUGGCGGACGGGUGAGGAAUACAUGGGAAUCUGCCCAGUCGUGGGGGAUAACGUAGGGAAACUUACGCUAAUACCGCAUGCGCCCUUCGGGGGAAAGCCGGGGACCUUCGGGCCUGGCGCGAUUGGAUGAGCCCAUGUUCGAUUAGCUAGUUGGCGGGGUAAAGGCCCACCAAGGCGACGAUCGAUAGCUGGUCUGAGAGGAUGAUCAGCCACACUGGGACUGAGACACGGCCCAGACUCCUACGGGAGGUAGCAGUAGGGAAUAUUGGACAAUGGGCGCAAGCCUGAUCCAGCCAUGCCGCGUGAGUGAAGAAGGCCCUCGGGUUGUAAAGCUCUUUUGUCCGGGAAGAAAAGCAUCGGGCUAAUACCUCGGUGUUCUGACGGUACCGGAAGAAUAAGCACCGGCUAACUUCGU
This 489-nucleotide ribosomal RNA is filed under the name uncultured bacterium. Its description in RNAcentral is "partial 16S ribosomal RNA". It matches the Rfam family "Bacterial small subunit ribosomal RNA", at positions 29 to 506 of the family's 1533-position model. The record is from RNAcentral.